RNAcentral lists this ribosomal RNA (450 nucleotides) under uncultured bacterium. RNAcentral describes it as "partial 16S ribosomal RNA". It matches the Rfam family "Bacterial small subunit ribosomal RNA", at positions 338 to 795 of the family's 1533-position model. The record is from RNAcentral.
CCUACGGGGGGCUGCAGUAAGGAAUAUUGCGCAAUGGGCGAAAGCCUGACGCAGCGACGCCGCGUGGGGGAUGAAGGUCUUCGGAUUGUAAACCCCUUUCGGGAGGGAAGAUGGAGCGAGCAAUCGUUCGGACGGUACCUCCAGAAGCAGCCACGGCCAACUUCGUGCCAGCAGCCGCGGUAAUACGAAGGUGGCAAGCGUUGUUCGGAUUCACGGGGCGUACGGGGAGUGUGGGCGGUUUGGUAAGGGUUAAAGGUUCGGGUCCAACCCGGAAAGCGCAGAGGGUACUGCCAGGCUAGAGGGUGGGAGAGGAGCGCGGGAUUCCCGGUGUAGCGGUGAAAUGCGUAGAGAUCGGGAGGAAGGCCGGUGGCGAAGGCGGCGCUCUGGAACAUACCUGACGCUGAGACACGAAAGCGUGGGGAGCAAACAGGAUUAGAUACCCCAGUAGUC